GGGGGGGGGGCUCCUGGGGCCUUGCUGAUGUGAACAGCGCAACUUCUUUCUGCCCAAGUAGGGCAGGGAUCCCCCUUUACACAUGAGGAAAUUAAGUUUCAAAGGAGUAAGGGCCCUCCUCUCUGCCCCUGUGUCUGUGGCAGUCAUCACGUAGUCAAUUUCUCUUGCCAACCCAAGACUACCUCAGAAUUCUUUGGGCAGUAACUAUCAUGCAAUCUCACUUGUCAGGUGAAAACCAUUUGUCAUCUGUAUCUGAAGUUAAGUGAAAGGAGAUUCUGGCAGAUCCUCUCCCCAUCCUCCCUCCCCUAGAACAGAAGGAGGAUACUAGAGUGGGAUGUCCUGGGUGACGAAGGCCUUCACCUGGGGAGGAACCAGAGUAUCAGACCCCAACCCCCUUCAGGUACCAACAGGACACAAGCCCAAUGAGGUCACACAGCUAGUCAGGUGCAACUUCCUGACUCCCUGCCAAAGGAUCCUCCCCCACCCAGUCAUUGGGACCAUGUUUCCCACCCCCCAGGAGGCUCACUGGGACCCCUUCCUCCAAACUCACCUCUUUGAGGCGAUUCAGCUGUCAUCCCCCACAGGUCUGCAGAGGGGACAAAAUGGAAUAGAUCAGGAGCCCUCACAUCUACACUCAACCCUAAUUUUACCCUCAUCCCCCAGCUCAGCUUUGGGUUGGGCUAUGGAUUACUCCCUGAAUAGCAGUUCCAAGGUGUGGAGAUGAGGCCUCUUGUGGGCAGAAGGGAGAACUCUGUACAGAUGGGGAAGCUGAGACGUAAUGACACCAGAGGAAAAAGGAGUAAAGCCAGAGACCCGAAGAGCACUUAGCAGCAGACUUAGGGCUCUUGCCUGCACAUCUUACUGACUGCUGACCCACUCCUGAUGCCCAAGAGAAAUGAGCACCCUUUUCCCCUCAGGCAGUAGAGAACUGGGUCUUUAGCCCCUAGAACCUCUGGGUGGAGGCAGACCAGAAGGAAACAGCUCUGUCCUGGGGGCCUCAUUAGAGACACCUGCCAUCUGCUCCUUACCUCACCCCAUGAAGAGCUGGCCCUCUCCGUCGCCUGCGGCCCAGCCCCACAGACCAUCUGGUCUCUUCCCAAAUAAGGAGGGAGGGGUGGACCCCUCCCUGUACUCCCUGAUGUGGAGCUUCCUUCUAGCAGGAGUCCAUACCGCAGGGCUACCUAUUCUAGUCCUCCCUCCUCCUCCCCAUCUUUUUUCAGAGAGAAAACUAAGGCCUAGAGAGGAUCUGUGAUGAUCCACGUCACACAACCCGACAGGGACUUUGGCAGGAGAGGGUGAGGGAACACUUCACAGCCUUGUAGACGGUUCCAGUCGGGCCGGAAGGUGGUGGUGGCUGCCGCGAGUGCCGCGAGGAGCAGCAGCAGGGGCAGCGAAAGCGGCGGGAGGUGCAUUGAAAGCCGGCCGGAGGUGAUCCGAAAACUAGAGGUGAACCGCCCGGCCACAGCGCCACGUCUGGGCCCUCGGGCUGGCCGGGCCCCCGCUGGAGGUCCCGCCCCGCUAGGGACCACGCCCCCAGCUCUCGGUAUCCGCCCCAGGGCCUGCUCGGCGGCCGCCCGAGCGCUGCCGGCAGGGUUUGAGCUCCUCGGCCCUUUGCUUUCCCAGUCCCAAGAGUGUCCACCCUCCCUCUGCUGACCGAGAGCGUGGACUCUCCAACAGGAUGGGGCCAGGCAAUGCCCCCUCACGCCGGCAGGGGGCGCGGGCGAGAUGCGGACAGAGACCGAGUUUCUGGGCCAGACACUCGACUUGAAGAUGGGAAAACUGAGGCCUGGGGAAUCCUCAUCUGUGUCUUUUAUUUCUCUGGAUGAAAUUCCGAUCUACGUUUCCAUUCCCUGGAGCACAAGUUGCGGCAAUGGGAAUAUUACGCCGUACUCUAGGGACUGGGAGAAUAAAAGGGUUAAUACACAUUAGAAAACUCUUUAGAAUAAUGCCUGUCACAGUGCCUCAAAGAGGCCCUAGGAACUGUUUUACAAGUGAGGAAACAGACUUAGAAAGGUAAAACGACUAAGUAGUGGUUCUAGGAUUUGAACCUCAAACAUUCCUGUGUUCACCAAGUCCAAGAUGACUAGGUCAGGGUGCUGCUUCCCUCUUCAAGCCUAAGACAGACACAGAACACUGAUUGCAAUGCUCUUUCUUUGUUUCUUUCUUUCUUAAUGAAUUUAUCACACCUGCA
This is a long non-coding RNA of Phacochoerus africanus (Common warthog), 2191 nucleotides long. RefSeq lists it as uncharacterized. The transcript has 2 exons. The record is from RefSeq and is a predicted model, not a curated record. NCBI's taxonomy places the organism in Eukaryota, Metazoa, Chordata, Mammalia, Artiodactyla, Suidae.